ACCUGGUGAGGCGCGCUUCCGACGUCGGGGCGGAGCCUGGACGCAGAUUGGCUGAGGCGUCGCGGGGAUCGCUGACUGGACGCAACGGGGCUGCGCAGGGAAGAGGCGAUGAAGGAUUGUUGUAUUUUGCAGGGGAACAGCGCGGCUAGUUCCUAACAACACUGAAGCCUUAAAGGGUAAAUGUCAGCUGACUUCCUGAUGCCAGCAUCCAUGUCCUCAGCAUCACCUGGAAACUUGCUAAAAAUGCAGACUCUCAGCCUCUGCCCCAGUUCAACUAAAUUAGACCGUCCUCUUUGGCAAGAUCCUCAGGCGUCUUAACAGCGAGAGGGAAGACUGGGAAGAGGACUCACGUGGUCCGUUGACCUUGAUGCCUCCUGACAGAGUCUUAGUUUUGGAAUUGCUAAAGAUGUAGGCGCAGAAGAGUGCAGCUUGGUGCACGAAUUCAGAGUCCAGCUCAUCAUCACGCAGUUCUUCAAGCCGGCUAAGCUGCUUCCUCUGAGUGGGUCGAUCAAAGAUAAAGCAUUUCUUGUUUGGGAAGAACUUCCGGAUACAGAGUCGAGGCAGAUUAAACAUUUUAUCUUUUUCACUGGUACCUGGAAGAAGAUAAAAGAGAAUUUGCCUAAUAUAGGGGCGUACACACUUUUUCUGAAUAUUUUAGGCAUUUGCAAGCCAGAUGGUCUUUUUUCCAAGUACUCUAUCUGCCAUCACAGCAUGAAGGCAGCCUUAGAUAGUCUAUAAGUGAAGGGGCAUAGCUGUUUUCCAGUAAAACCCUAUUUACAAAGACAGCUGGCCGGCUGGAUUGGCCAUCAUUUGACUGUGGGCCAUAGUCUGCCAACCCCUGGACUAAUGCACUGUUCAUGCUUUUAUUUAAUUUCUUCAAAUACAUGACCAUUCUACUCCAUAAUCUGGCUAAUUACAGCAUUACAAGCCCUAAGAAGAUCAUAUCAAUCUAGGCACAGCACAGGGAAAGGUAAAAGAAAAAGCAACUCUUUCUUAGAACAAGAGAAAAUAGUUCAAAAUCAAAUGUAUUAGUUCAGGUAUUAAACGAGUUCUCAGGUUAAGUAAUGGCCCCCGAGAAGAAAUAGAAAACAUAAAUACAAGAAAACUGGAUAGAAAACUAAAGAAUGAUAGUUUUGGGUGCUGACCUCAUUUACCAGUUCUCAGUCCCCUUGUUACCUUUCUUCAGCUUGAGUGAAUUCUCCAGGUACUCGUCUGGUGUGAUACACUGCCCAUCUGUUUCCAAGUCUAGGGAGAAAUCCCUCAGCGUCCACACAAAGUCUGGAAAGAAGCUCACAAAGUCAGCUGAAUCCUCAACCCCGUCCUCCUCAGGGGAGGAUUUUGCCCUGAUUCUAUCUGUCAGCUCUGUCACAUAGCUGAGCAGCAAA
Molecule: long non-coding RNA, 1385 nt
Organism: Camelus dromedarius (Arabian camel)
Lineage: Eukaryota; Metazoa; Chordata; Mammalia; Artiodactyla; Camelidae
Exons: 4
Source: RefSeq, a predicted model, not a curated record